GAUGAACGCUGGCGGUAUGCUUAACACAUGCAAGUCGAACGGGAUUCUUCGGAAUCUAGUGGCGGACGGGUGAGUAACGCGUGAGAAUCUGCCUUCAGGUCGGGGACAACAUUUGGAAACGAAUGCUAAUACCCGAUGUGCCGCGAGGUGAAAGGUUAACUGCCUGAAGAUGAGCUCGCGUCCGAUUAGCUAGUUGGUGGUGUAAAGGACUACCAAGGCGACGAUCGGUAGCUGGUUUGAGAGGACAUUCAGCCACACUGGGACUGAGACACGGCCCAGACUCCUACGGGAGGCAGCAGUGGGGAAUUUUCCGCAAUGGGCGAAAGCCUGACGGAGCAAUACCGCGUGAGGGACGAAGGCCUGUGGGUUGUAAACCCUCUUUUCUCAGGGAAGAAGCUCUGACGGUACCUGAGGAAUCAGCAUCGGCUAACUCCGUGCCAGCAGCCGCGGUAAU
Molecule: ribosomal RNA, 454 nt
Filed under: uncultured cyanobacterium
Lineage: Bacteria; Bacillati; Cyanobacteriota
Description: bacterial SSU rRNA
Rfam family: Bacterial small subunit ribosomal RNA
Source: RNAcentral